AGUGAACGCUGGCGGUAGGCCUAACACAUGCAAGUCGAACGGCAGCACAGUAAGAGCUUGCUCUUACGGGUGGCGAGUGGCGGACGGGUGAGGAAUACAUCGGAAUCUACUUUUUCGUGGGGGAUAACGUAGGGAAACUUACGCUAAUACCGCAUACGACCUACGGGUGAAAGCAGGGGAUCUUCGGACCUUGCGCGAUUGAAUGAGCCGAUGUCGGAUUAGCUAGUUGGCGGGGUAAAGGCCCACCAAGGCGACGAUCCGUAGCUGGUCUGAGAGGAUGAUCAGCCACACUGGAACUGAGAGACGGUCCAGACUCCUACGGGAGGCAGCAGUGGGGAAUAUUGGACAAAGGGCGCAAGCCUGAUCCAGCCAUACCGCGUGGGUGAAGAAGGCCUUCGGGUUGUAAAGCCCUUUUGUUGGGAAAGAAAAGAAGCAGGUUAAUACCCCGCUGUUCUGACGGUACCCAAAGAAUAAGCACCGGCUAACUUCGUG
RNAcentral lists this ribosomal RNA (492 nucleotides) under uncultured bacterium. RNAcentral describes it as "partial 16S ribosomal RNA". It matches the Rfam family "Bacterial small subunit ribosomal RNA", at positions 29 to 507 of the family's 1533-position model. The record is from RNAcentral.